AUUGAACGCUGGCGGAAUGCUUUACACAUGCAAGUCGAGCGGCAGCACGGACUUCGGUCUGGUGGCGAGUGGCGAACGGGUGAGUAAUAUAUCGGAACGUGCCCAGUCGUGGGGGAUAACGUAGUGAAAAUUACGCUAAUACCGCAUACGAUCUAUGGAUGAAAGCGGGGGAUCGCAAGACCUCGCGCGAUUGGAGCGGCCGAUAUCUGAUUAGGUAGUUGGUGAGGUAAAGGCUCACCAAGCCAACGAUCUGUAGCUGGUCUGAGAGGACGACCAGCCACACUGGAACUGAGACACGGUCCAGACUCCUACGGGAGGCAGCAGUGGGGAAUUUUGGACAAUGGACGCAAGUCUGAUCCAGCCAUUCCGCGUGCAGGACGAAGGCCUUCGGGUUGUAAACUGCUUUUGUACAGAACGAAAAGGUUUCUAUUAAUACUAGGGGCUCAUGACGGUACUGUAAGAAUAAGCACCGGCUAACUACGUGCCAGCCGCCGCCGUAA
This 500-nucleotide ribosomal RNA is filed under the name uncultured bacterium. RNAcentral's name for it is "partial 16S ribosomal RNA". It matches the Rfam family "Bacterial small subunit ribosomal RNA", at positions 30 to 523 of the family's 1533-position model. The record is from RNAcentral.